Molecule: small nucleolar RNA, 107 nt
Filed under: Corchorus olitorius
Lineage: Eukaryota; Viridiplantae; Streptophyta; Magnoliopsida; Malvales; Malvaceae
Description: Plant small nucleolar RNA R71
Rfam family: Plant small nucleolar RNA R71
About the family: R71 is a member of the C/D box family of snoRNAs containing the C (UGAUGA) and D (CUGA) box motifs. Multiple nearly identical copies of this snoRNA have been identified in Arabidopsis, and it is thought to function as a 2'-O-ribose methylation guide for 18S ribosomal RNA.
Source: Rfam by way of RNAcentral
AUGGCAUGUUGAGGACAAUCGGCGCAAAGCUUCUUGAAUCUCUCCCAAGCUAGGUAAAAAUUAUCAUCCUUGCGUUGUCGAAAACUUGUAAUCCUUUGUCUCCCCUU